UCUUGGACAAAACACAUUGUCACCCCCUUCCACUUUUCCACUUUCACACGCACAGUAAAAACUCCUAUCGAAACCGAAGAAACUCCUCUCAUCAAGUUUCUCUUUUUAUUGAACGUUUUUAGAUGGCGAUCGUUUAUUUCUAUUCCGAUUAACUUAAAAAACCCGUCGCUCGGAACGAUCGGCAUUUAAUCUGUCAUCAUGUUCGAGGCACAUGUUUUGCAUUUGCUUCGAAGAUAUUUGGGCGAAUAUGUCCAUGGACUGUCUUCUGAGGCCUUGAGAAUUAGUGUUUGGAAAGGUGAUGUUGUUCUCA
This is a long non-coding RNA of Olea europaea var. sylvestris, 310 nucleotides long. RefSeq lists it as uncharacterized. The transcript is spliced from 3 exons. NCBI's taxonomy places the organism in Eukaryota, Viridiplantae, Streptophyta, Magnoliopsida, Lamiales, Oleaceae. The record is from RefSeq and is a predicted model, not a curated record.